Molecule: microRNA precursor, 107 nt
Filed under: Medicago truncatula (barrel medic)
Lineage: Eukaryota; Viridiplantae; Streptophyta; Magnoliopsida; Fabales; Fabaceae
Description: miR2597 stem-loop (mtr-MIR2597)
Source: miRBase by way of RNAcentral
UUGAAGACGAAUCUUGAUCUAUCGACGAAGUAUCAAAUGAGAUAGAAAUCAUUUUGAUUUUAUAUUAUUUGGUACUUCGUCGAUUUGAUUAAAAUUCGAUAUUUCAU